RNAcentral lists this long non-coding RNA (1677 nucleotides) under Citrus sinensis (sweet orange). Its description in RNAcentral is "long non-coding RNA (CSIN_LNC004164)". The record is from RNAcentral. Lineage: Eukaryota; Viridiplantae; Streptophyta; Magnoliopsida; Sapindales; Rutaceae.
CUAGACACUUAACCAAAACAAACAUGAAGGCAAGAGUCAGAACAAAGCAAAACAAAAUUGAAAGCACAAUGAAGCAAAACCCACAGCAUGAAAUAAGCAAUUUGAGCUGGCAAAAAAAGGUAAAAGGCACAAGAAAACCUUGAAGAUCGAAGAAUAUAAAGCCCACAUUAAGAAAGAAGAGAACUAAAAUUAUUGAAGCAGAAAAGAAAGAUCGAAGAAAGUAAGAGCAAAUAAAAAGUUGUAAUCAGGUUAGAACACUCACCCUAUCUCUAUAUCGGUUCUUGCACUUUCCUCUAAAUUUUUGUAAAGCCCUAAUUGUCAAUUUGUUUCAGAUUUUUCUGUUCUAGACUUGAUUUAAAUUUAGAUAGGCUUCUAUGCAUGAAUAAUUUGUUUAUUUACUUUUUCACGGGCAUGCACACAUGAAUUGAUGAUUUGCAAAUAUAACUAAGAAAAUUCCACUGGGUGUUUAUAAAAUAUGAUUUAGAAGAUGUGUUGUUUGUUUACUAGUUUUGAUUUUAGGAAUUGAUGAUUUAAAGUUUUUAAAAAUUAUGUAUUGGUCCUUUUUUGUUAUAUAGUAGCACAUGGUUGGACAUGUUGCAUAAUUUAAUAUGUUUGAGCAUGAAAGUUCCUUAAUUUUUUCAAAAUUUUAUCCUUAUGGCAACAAAUUUUAAUUAUUUCAUGACAAGUUGACCUUAAUUAUUAAAAUUAUUUAUCAUUAGGAUGUGCUUUUGUGUGUGUCUUUAUGUGCCGGCUUUUAGUAAAUAAAUAAUUUUUUAAAUGCGGUAAUUGUGUUCAUUUGUUGUUUUGCAAGAUGUUAUUAAAGUAAUUGUAUCAUAUUUGUAUUUUGUUAUUUUUUGUGAUUUAAUAAGUUAGGUUUUGUAGUAAUAAAAGUAUUAAUACUGUUAUAAAUUGACUGUGGUUGGCAGGUUUUUUUAUUUGUCUAAUUCGAUUACUACUGUGGUUAAAAGUUUUGUUGAGUGGGACGAGAAGGUGUUUGAUUGGUUCAGGUACGAAUACAUUGUCAUUUCAACUGUAAUUGUGUGGCUUUUUGACAUUGGACCCAAUGACAUAAACGAAUGGGCAGUGGCGAUACCACCUUCACCACUGCUAGAAAGCAGCCAAAACGUACGGCCACACGAAGCUAAGGUUUCUAGCGCAAAAGGUCACCACAAUUGGCGCAAACUGCUGGAUUUCUAGCCCGGUACCACCAGGAUUGUGCUCGUCAUGGUUGUGGCCAGCGAGCCUCAAACUCCUGGUUCUCGAUCUUAUAAUAUGUUAUUUCAGCCUCAUAGCCGUAGGCCUCAAUGUUAUAAUACGAACCGCGGCCUUAUGCUCAUAGGGCUAGCUUAUUCUUAGUAAUACAUAUCUCGAUCUCAUGUGCCCAUAUUUUUAUCUUCCUUUAAUCAAAACAUCUAUAAAACUACUUAGCACGCCCAAUUUUUUUUUUUUCAUGAAGGCAGGAGUCAGAACAAAGCAAAACAAAAUUGAAAGCACAACGAAGCAAAACCCACAGCAUGAAAUAAGCAAUUUGAGCUGACGAAAAAGGUAAAAGGCACAAGAAAACCUUGAAGAUCGAAGAAUAUAAAGCCCACAUUAAGAAAGAAGAGAACGAAAAUUAUUGAAGCAGAAAAGAAAGAUCGAAGAAAGUAAGAGCAAAUAAAAAGUUGUAAUCAGGUU